GGAUUAAUGGACAUUAUUUAUUCUGUGUUUUCGAUUUGCCCGACUUCUUCAGGGAUGAUCAAUAGUACCGGGGCGUUUGGAAUUCCGCAGAGAGCCACAGAACAAGUUCGGUCCUGACUUUUCUGCUCAUCAACCAAACAGAAUUUACAUUUAUCGACUGCAAACUUUUAAUAAAUGAGGGUUCAGCCUCACUUCUGCUAGAAGACCCAAAACUUCAAACAACUUUUUACCUCCAUGACCUAAAGAAGGAGGACAGGCUGACGCGUCGGCUUCACAAACGCCCUGCUCAGAAGAAGAGUUUUGCCAGUUGGAGGUUGUUGGAUCUGCAGGAGCUUCGGACUGAAGGAAAGCUGCAAGAGCCGAGGAGAGAAUGACGAAGCGUCCCACUGAGGGAGGACGGCGGCCGCCAAUUUGUGUG
RNAcentral lists this long non-coding RNA (418 nucleotides) under Takifugu rubripes (torafugu). RNAcentral's name for it is "lncRNA (ENSTRUG00000027507.1)". Lineage: Eukaryota; Metazoa; Chordata; Actinopteri; Tetraodontiformes; Tetraodontidae. The record is from RNAcentral.